RNAcentral lists this ribosomal RNA (253 nucleotides) under uncultured bacterium. RNAcentral describes it as "partial 16S ribosomal RNA". It matches the Rfam family "Bacterial small subunit ribosomal RNA", at positions 524 to 776 of the family's 1533-position model. The record is from RNAcentral.
UACGUAGGGUGCAAGCGUUGUCCGGAAUUAUUGGGCGUAAAGAGCUCGUAGGCGGUCUGUCGCGUCGGCUGUGAAAUCCCGAGGCUCAACCUCGGGUCUGCAGUCGAUACGGGCAAACUUGAGUGUUGCAGGGGAGACUGGAAUUCCUGGUGUAGCGGUGAAAUGCGCAGAUAUCGGAAGGAACAUCGAUGGCGAAGGCAGGUCUCUGGGCAUUAACUGACGCUGAGGAGCGAAAGCAUGGGGAGCGAACAGG